UUGGGAUGCCACGGAGAAACCGGGGAAGCCCCCGGAGGAAAACUCCGUGUUGCCUAGACCACGGGUCAUAAAGAAGUUUUACGUUUAAGGUCACGACAGUCUGUUUUACGGUUCAAUGGAAGACGGGGAACAUCUUGACCAGGAAAGAAUACGAGCAUAAAUUCAAGCCUCACAAGAGGAACUGGAAAUGAGAUGGCCGACCACAGCGUCUAAUGCUGAAUUCGAAAAGCUGGAGAGAAAUAGGUUACUGCCUAUUUUAAGGUACUAACUGGAUGUUUAAACAUCAGACUAGCUACGGUCAAAUGAGACUCCAGGAGCUGUAACAGAGUAAGAUCCCCCCACCAAGCAUGACAAAUUUGGCUGCAAUUUGGUCAGAAUGGUCAGUAGCGAGCCACUCCUCAAUACCGAACAAUCAAUUAGACGUUUCAAUAAUAGAGGAAAAUAUUACUAUGAAAAAACGAGUAUAAACAAUAUGGCCGAACAUCUUGUCGGUAAGAAUGAAACCUGGAGAAUAUAAUUUGUAAACCCUUCGCUACUUUUUCUUGUUAUUCUGCUUUCGUUCCAGACCACGAUUUCAAAGCUGUUAUUUCAGAGUCUCUGUUACUCAACCGGAACUUGACAAACACAUAAUAUUCCUGUAUUACAGAUUCCAAGAACAUUUAUCUUAUUUGCAGUAAGAGGACAAGGUGAGGCAUUACCGCUACGAACACAGACCCACCUCAACAUUCGUGAUUCCCGGUUGGGCGUUACAUUCGCUCUUUCCGUUUUUAAAAAAAACAUUAUUUUUUGGCAUAGUAGUGAGUUCGUUUUACGAAAACGUCCCAGAAAAACAAAAGGAAAUGCUGUUAAAUUACAAAGAAGUUCAACUUCGUUAACUUCAGAAACUACGGAAUCCGACAACGUCUCUCUUAAUGACUACAUUCCUUUCAUUAAUUAUCCUCCAUAAACCUCCAGCCGCCAUAAUUUAAGACCGUUACGUAAUCUACAAAAACAUUUGUUAAUACCGGUCCUCGUCUUACAACAGUAGACCCUACAUAUUCGUUUAUUGUCAUAAACUCAUUUAAUGUCAUACCUUAACGUUCAAAUCACUUUCUCACGUCAGCCUGCAACACUCAUUCAUCGCAUUUUUUUUUAAAAAAAUCAAAAUUACCUAGAUUACUAUAUAAAUUCAUUCCUCUCAGGAACGUAGCCCACAAUUUUAACAGUCUAUUUGGGGAGGGAUUAUGUAUAAAAAUUCUUCGAUUUACGGAGCGUUUGCCAGGACCACCGCUCGUAGGUGUAUACCUACAAAAGACACGUAUUUUCACUAUAAAUCGAAAUGAAACUCACAGUAAGAGAUGUGACAGAGUCAAAACAGUAGUGUUAUCUCACGGAAAACAGAUCAGACCAGCCAACGAAAACAAAAGAAGGUAGCCACAGAAUAAACAAUCCUAAUUCCAUUACUUAGCGUGUUCCAAAUAGCAGUCAUAACUAGGUCGUGAACAGUGUUAUUAUAAAUGAUAAAUUUAUAUCGUAUAUAAACUGACAGAUGUAUUAACAAGUGGUUUUGUUUGUUACAUGAUUGUG
This is a long non-coding RNA of Zootermopsis nevadensis, 1566 nucleotides long. RefSeq lists it as uncharacterized. The record is from RefSeq and is a predicted model, not a curated record. NCBI's taxonomy places the organism in Eukaryota, Metazoa, Arthropoda, Insecta, Blattodea, Termopsidae.